UGUAACGGAGGCGCCCAAAGGUUCCCUCAGAAUGGUUGGAAAUCAUUCGCAGAGUGUAAAGGUAAAAGGGAGCUUGACUGCGAGAGAGACAACUCGAGCAGGUACGAAAGUAGGGCUUAGUGAUCUGGUGGUACCGUAUGGAAGGGCCAUCACUCAACGGAUAAAAGCUACCCUGGGGAUAACAGGCUUAUCUCCCCCAAGAGUUCACAUCGACGGGGAGGUUUGGCACCUCGAUGUCGGCUCGUCGCAUCCUGGGGCUGAAGU
Molecule: ribosomal RNA, 264 nt
Filed under: Lactobacillus delbrueckii subsp. bulgaricus
Lineage: Bacteria; Bacillati; Bacillota; Bacilli; Lactobacillales; Lactobacillaceae
Description: partial 23S ribosomal RNA
Rfam family: Bacterial large subunit ribosomal RNA
Source: RNAcentral